Molecule: ribosomal RNA, 717 nt
Filed under: uncultured bacterium
Lineage: Bacteria
Description: bacterial SSU rRNA
Rfam family: Bacterial small subunit ribosomal RNA
Source: RNAcentral
AGAGUUUGAUCCUGGCUCAGAUUGAACGCUGGCGGCAUGCCUUACACAUGCAAGUCGAACGGCAGCACGGGAGCAAUCCUGGUGGCGAGUGGCGAACGGGUGAGUAAUACAUCGGAACGUGCCCAGNUUGUGGGGGAUAGCCCGGCGAAAGCCGGAUUAAUACCGCAUACGACCUACGGGUGAAAGCGGGGGAUCGCAAGACCUCGCGCAAUUGGAGCGGCCGAUGUCAGAUUAGCUAGUUGGUGGGGUAAAGGCCUACCAAGGCGACGAUCUGUAGCUGGUCUGAGAGGACGACCAGCCACACUGGGACUGAGACACGGCCCAGACUCCUACGGGAGGCAGCAGUGGGGAAUUUUGGACAAUGGGCGCAAGCCUGAUCCAGCCAUGCCGCGUGCGGGAAGAAGGCCUUCGGGUUGUAAACCGCUUUUGUCAGGGGAAGAAACGGUCUGGUCUAAUAAACCGGACUAAUGACGGUACCUGAAGAAUAAGCACCGGCUAACUACGUGCCAGCAGCCGCGGUAAUACGUAGGGUGCAAGCGUUAAUCGGAAUUACUGGGCGUAAAGCGUGCGCAGGCGGCUUUGCAAGACAGAUGUGAAAUCCCCGGGCUUAACCUGGGAACUGCAUUUGUGACUGCAAGGCUAGAGUACGGUAGAGGGGGAUGGAAUUCCGCGUGUAGCAGUGAAAUGCGUAGAUAUGCGGAGGAACACCGAUGGCGA